AACAUUCAUGCAAUGUUCAGUAAUUAUUGUUGUAUUGGAAUAAUCUUGUUUAUGCGUUACCCGCAGCUGCAGCGGCCUGCAAUUAUAAUAAUACUCUAUAGUUUAUUAAUAAGUUCAAAAAUAAACCCAAGUCCAAAUAAUUAUAAUAUCUCAUUAGUCAUUAAACAUUAUUAUAAACAUAAGCAUUGGUUUUCAGUUUCGGAUUUCGGGGAAACCGAACCCGCAGCAGUGACCUCGGCUGUGCUUUGCAUUCUUGGCGGGAGGUAUUAAUAUCAUUAUCCUGACGUAACUGGUAGUGAGGUGUCACGAUUCACGAAUCUCAACUUUACUGCUCUAUAUUACGAAUGAGUAAAUAAUGACUAAUGACUAUACCCAUUAUUAUUAAUACUUAUAAUUACAGUAUUACCAAUUACCAGAUUACCUACAUCUUUCUUUCUUUAACCGCCUUUUGCUAUCAUGCGACGAGCAUAUUGAGUUAAGGUACAUUGAUACUUGUUUUACUGUUUAAAACAGUUUAAUAUAUUUUUACAACGUGUUUAUUUGUUAAUUGUUUGAACGAAACAAAAUGAAGCACAUUAGUGGAUAAUUCUCGUCUCCUCCAGUUGUUAAACAGGUGAGUUUGGAAAAGCAUAUAGCGUUAUCUGACCAGACUGCAUCACUAUCGGAGACACCAGUUCUGAGCCUCAAUAUAGCACUAUUUUAACUUGCCUGAGGUAAGUCAAGUAAACAUAUAUCUAAACAUUCAUAAAUAUUUUUACAGUACAAAUUCCUUAGAAUUCCUAAAUAAAUUAUUAAUACAGUGAAACUUCCGUAUAAUGAAGUCACACGAGGAACAUAAGAAAUUCAUACUAUGGAGGAAUUUUGUUAAAUAGAAUUAAUGCAUGAUUAACAAUGGAGGUCAUGGUUCUCAAAAAUAAUUUGAUAAACAGAACAUUUUGUUAAAUGGAAGUUUGUUAUAUGAAAGUUUCACUGUAGUUAUUUUAACAGGGUUGCUACGCACUCACUAUUCUCACUAUUUUUGAGUGUUCUCACUUUUCACACUUAACUUUCCACAUUAACUUUUAACGCUAAUGAUUGAAAAUUUAAAACAAGGUUCCAGGUAAAUAGGUUAUAUUAUAUAAAUUACUUUAUUUACAAUAAUAUCAUCAAAUAUACUUAGAAAUAUCAUAGGUCUUCGAUCAGAAUCGUUUUUCUUAUACAGUGAUAUUAUAUAAGUAGUAAUACAAAAAAAAAUAUUUAAAUAAGGAUAACCUAUAACUAUUUUCUCAGUAUUCCAUACACGUUCGUUGAAUUAAAAAUAAUAGUUAACUUGCCCAGUUGUAAAUUUUGUAAAAAAAA
Molecule: long non-coding RNA, 1338 nt
Organism: Acyrthosiphon pisum (pea aphid)
Lineage: Eukaryota; Metazoa; Arthropoda; Insecta; Hemiptera; Aphididae
Exons: 2
Source: RefSeq, a predicted model, not a curated record